UUGUGGAAAUGGGUAGUCGCUGUUUCCUCUGAGGAAAUAGAGGAAAGUCCGGACUCCAUGGAGGAUAAGUGUCAGAUAACGUCUGACGGCACCAGAUGGUGUUAGGGAAAGUGCAACAGAAAACAAACAGCCUUCGGGCAAUGGUGAAAUGGCGAGGUAAGAGCUCACCGCGUGACUGGUAACGGAAACGGCAUGGCAAACCCCACUUGGAGCAAGGUCAAAUAAGAAUAACGCAACCUCCAGGCUAUGUUAUUCGGGUGGAUCGCUGGACGUCUGCGGUGACGCAGAUGCAAGAUGAAUGGCUGCCAGAACAUUUUAAAUGUUUUACAGAAUCCGGCUUAUAGUUUCCACAAAAAC
RNAcentral lists this RNase P RNA (357 nucleotides) under Holosporaceae bacterium. RNAcentral's name for it is "RNase P RNA component class A". It matches the Rfam family "Bacterial RNase P class A". From Rfam's summary of the family: Ribonuclease P (RNase P) is a ubiquitous endoribonuclease, found in archaea, bacteria and eukarya as well as chloroplasts and mitochondria. Its best characterised activity is the generation of mature 5'-ends of tRNAs by cleaving the 5'-leader elements of precursor-tRNAs. Cellular RNase Ps are ribonucleoproteins. Lineage: Bacteria; Pseudomonadati; Pseudomonadota; Alphaproteobacteria; Holosporales; Holosporaceae. The record is from RNAcentral.